Molecule: non-coding RNA, 106 nt
Organism: Termitomyces sp. T159_Od127
Lineage: Eukaryota; Fungi; Basidiomycota; Agaricomycetes; Agaricales; Lyophyllaceae
Source: the annotation of a GenBank genome assembly
GGCCUAAUGGUCUAGUAGCAUGAUACUCCCUUCGGGAUUACGCAUCUCGCUUGCUUAUGUAAGUUUCCAAUGGGAGUGGUCCUGGGUUCAAUUCCCAGUUAGGCCC